GAUGAACGCUGGCGGCGUGCCUAACACAUGCAAGUCGAGCGAUUCUCUUCGGAGAAGAGCGGCGGACGGGUGAGUAACGCGUGGGUAACCUGCCCUGUACACACGGAUAACAUACCGAAGGUAUGCUAAUACGAGAUAAUAUGCUUUUAUCGCAUGGUAGAAGUAUCAAAGCUCCGGCGGUACAGGAUGGACCCGCGUCUGAUUAGCUAGUUGGUAAGGUAACGGCUUACCAAGGCGACGAUCAGUAGCCGACCUGAGAGGGUGGAUCGGCCACAUUGGAACUGAGACACGGUCCAAACUACCUACGGGAGGGCAGCAGUGGGGGAAGUAUUGCACAAUGGGCGGAAAGACCUGAUGCAGCAACGCCGCGUGAGCGAUGAAGGCCUCGGUCGUAAGAC
Molecule: ribosomal RNA, 398 nt
Filed under: uncultured bacterium
Lineage: Bacteria
Description: bacterial SSU rRNA
Rfam family: Bacterial small subunit ribosomal RNA
Source: RNAcentral